RNAcentral lists this ribosomal RNA (253 nucleotides) under uncultured bacterium. RNAcentral describes it as "partial 16S ribosomal RNA". It matches the Rfam family "Bacterial small subunit ribosomal RNA", at positions 524 to 776 of the family's 1533-position model. The record is from RNAcentral.
UACGUAGGGUGCGAGCGUUAAUCGGAAUUACUGGGCGUAAAGCGUGCGCAGGCGGUUUUGUAAGCCAGAUGUGAAAUCCCCGGGCUUAACCUGGGAAUGGCAUUUGGGACUGCAAGGCUUGAGUGCGGCAGAGGAGACUGGAAUUCCUGGUGUAGCAGUGAAAUGCGUAGAUAUCGGGAGGAACAUCAAUGGAUAAGGCGACCACCGAGAUCUACACUGACGCUGAGGUGCGAAAGCGUGGGUAGCAAACAGG